CCUACGGGAGGCUGCAGUGGGGAAUAUUGGACAAUGGGGGCAACCCUGAUCCAGCCAUGCCGCGUGUGUGAAGAAGGCCCUCGGGUUGUAAAGCACUUUCAGUGAGGAAGAACGCCUGGUGGUUAAUACCCUUCAGGAAAGACAUCACUCACAGAAGAAGCACCGGCUAACUCCGUGCCAACAGCCGCGGUAAUACGGAGGGUGCGAGCGUUAAUCGGAAUUACUGGGCGUAAAGCGCGCGUAGGUGGCUUGAUAAGCCGGUUGUGAAAGCCCCGGGCUCAACCUGGGAACGGCAUCCGGAACUGUCAAGCUAGAGUGCAGGAGAGGAAGGUAGAAUUCCCGGUGUAGCGGUGAAAUGCGUAGAGAUCGGGAGGAAUACCAGUGGCGAAGGCGGCCUUCUGGACUGACACUGACACUGAGGUGCGAAAGCGUGGGUAGCAAACAGGAUUAGAUACCCUGGUAGUC
Molecule: ribosomal RNA, 465 nt
Filed under: Vreelandella stevensii
Lineage: Bacteria; Pseudomonadati; Pseudomonadota; Gammaproteobacteria; Oceanospirillales; Halomonadaceae
Description: partial 16S ribosomal RNA
Rfam family: Bacterial small subunit ribosomal RNA
Source: RNAcentral